UACAGAGGGUGCGAGCGUUAAUCGGAAUUACUGGGCGUAAGGGGUGCGUAGGUGGCUUUUUAAGUCGUUUGUGAAAUACUCGGGCUUAACAUGAGUGCUGCGGACGAGACUGGAAGGCUGGAGUAGAGUAGAGGAGAGUGGAAUUUCCGGUGUAGCGGUGAAAUGCGUAGAUAUCGGAAGGAACACCAGUGGCGAAGGCGGCUCUCUGGACUCAUACUGACACUGAGGCACGAAAGCGUGGGGAGCGAACAGG
This 253-nucleotide ribosomal RNA is filed under the name uncultured bacterium. RNAcentral's name for it is "partial 16S ribosomal RNA". It matches the Rfam family "Bacterial small subunit ribosomal RNA", at positions 524 to 776 of the family's 1533-position model. The record is from RNAcentral.